This 495-nucleotide ribosomal RNA is filed under the name uncultured bacterium. Its description in RNAcentral is "partial 16S ribosomal RNA". It matches the Rfam family "Bacterial small subunit ribosomal RNA", at positions 28 to 507 of the family's 1533-position model. The record is from RNAcentral.
GACGAACGCUGGCGGCGUGCCUAAUACAUGCAAGUCGAACGCUGAAGGAGGAGCUUGCUCUUCUGGAUGAGUUGCGAACGGGUGAGUAACGCGUAGGUAACCUGCCUGGUAGCGGGGGAUAACUAUUGGAAACGAUAGCUAAUACCGCAUAAGAGAAGAUGUUGCAUGACGUUUACUUAAAAGGUGCAAUUGCAUCACUACCAGAUGGACCUGCGUUGUAUUAGCUAGUUGGUGGGGUAACGGCUUACCAAGGCGACGAUACAUAGCCGACCUGGGAGGGGGGUCGGGCCCACUGGGAACGGGACACGGGCCAGACUUCUUCGGGAGGCAGCAGUAGGGAAGUUUUGGCAAUGGACGGAAGGCUGGACGAGGCAAGGCGGGUGAGGGGAGAAGGUUUUUCGGUUGGUAAAGCCCGUUGUAAGGGGAGGAAGAGUGGUAGAGUGGAAAGUUCACGUUGUGACGGUACCUUACCAGAAAGCGACGGCUAACUACGUG